Molecule: ribosomal RNA, 751 nt
Filed under: uncultured Comamonadaceae bacterium
Lineage: Bacteria; Pseudomonadati; Pseudomonadota; Betaproteobacteria; Burkholderiales; Comamonadaceae
Description: bacterial SSU rRNA
Rfam family: Bacterial small subunit ribosomal RNA
Source: RNAcentral
AUUGAACGCUGGCGGCAUGCCUUACACAUGCAAGUCGAACGGUAACAGGUCUUCGGAUGCUGACGAGUGGCGAACGGGUGAGUAGUACAUCGGAACGUGCCCGAUCGUGGGGGAUAACGAGGCGAAAGCUUUGCUAAUACCGCAUACGAUCUACGGAUGAAAGCGGGGGAUCUUCGGACCUCGCGCGGACGGAGCGGCCGAUGGCAGAUUAGGUAGUUGGUGGGAUAAAAGCUUACCAAGCCGACGAUCUGUAGCUGGUCUGAGAGGAUGAUCAGCCACACUGGGACUGAGACACGGCCCAGACUCCUACGGGAGGCAGCAGUGGGGAAUUUUGGACAAUGGGCGAAAGCCUGAUCCAGCCAUGCCGCGUGCAGGAUGAAGGCCUUCGGGUUGUAAACUGCUUUUGUACGGAACGAAAAGCCUCUUUCUAAUAAAGAGGAGUCAUGACGGUACCGUAAGAAUAAGCACCGGCUAACUACGUGCCAGCAGCCGCGGUAAUACGUAGGGUGCAAGCGUUAAUCGGAAUUACUGGGCGUAAAGCGUGCGCAGGCGGUUUUGUAAGACAGAGGUGAAAUCCCCGGGCUCAACCUGGGAACUGCCUUUGUGACUGCAAGGCUGGAGUGCGGCAGAGGGGGAUGGAAUUCCGCGUGUAGCAGUGAAAUGCGUAGAUAUGCGGAGGAACACCGAUGGCGAAGGCAAUCCCCUGGGCCUGCACUGACGCUCAUGCACGAAAGCGUGGGGAGCAAACAGG